RNAcentral lists this unclassified non-coding RNA (538 nucleotides) under Hevea brasiliensis (rubber tree). The record is from RNAcentral. Lineage: Eukaryota; Viridiplantae; Streptophyta; Magnoliopsida; Malpighiales; Euphorbiaceae.
GACUUCUUCAUAGUGGCAACUCCAUUCAAAACUAGAGAAUCAAGAAAUUAUAAAACUAGGUAGGAAUCAUGGUCUUAAGUUUUCUAAUCAAGAGAGAAUACUUGCUGAUAAGCUGGUAAGUGCCAAAUAAUUAAGGCAGGGUGUUGAUUUAACUUACAAAAGGAAUGUGAAGAGAAGUAAGACUCGUAGAAGAAGUUGAUCGAUGACAUUGCCCUCCUUCAUCACAAUUCCAUAUAUGAAGUUACUCAAUGAAUCCCCAUCCUGAAGUUAAGAAGCAGAAUCAGGACAUCCUAACUGGAGGAAAAAGAGAGAAAAAAAAUUAUAACGAGCCAGAAAUAAAUUCUUGCAACAGAAAUUAAAGUAAUGAAAUUACUAGAUAUUGUCAUGGUUGCAAACCAAUUGUUCAACAUCUAUGAACAACAGUUUUGAGAUUUAAGAGAGAAUAUUUCAAGAUAUCUGUCAACCUGCAACAUCAAUGUAAAAAAACACAUGAGAAUCCAGCUUCCUAGACAGGAAAAAAAAAUUAUGUUUAUUGAAG